UACGUAGGGGGCAAGCGUUGUCCGGAAUCAUUGGGCGUAAAGAGCGUGUAGGCGGCCCGGUAAGUCCGCCGUGAAAGUCCAGGGCUCAACCCUGGGAUGCCGGUGGAAACUGUCGGGCUAGAGUCCGGAAGAGGCGAGUGGAAUUCCUGGUGUAGCGGUGAGAUGCGCAGAUAUCAGGAGGAACACCGAUGGCGAAGGCAGCUCGCUGGGACGGUACUGACGCUGAGGUGCGAAAGCGUGGGGAGCAAACAGG
Molecule: ribosomal RNA, 253 nt
Filed under: uncultured bacterium
Lineage: Bacteria
Description: partial 16S ribosomal RNA
Rfam family: Bacterial small subunit ribosomal RNA
Source: RNAcentral